This is a long non-coding RNA of Equus caballus (horse), 5720 nucleotides long. NCBI's taxonomy places the organism in Eukaryota, Metazoa, Chordata, Mammalia, Perissodactyla, Equidae. The record is from Ensembl.
CGUGAAGACACAGGGAGAAGACGGCCGUCUACAAGCCGAGGAGAGAGGCCUCGGGAGAACCAGCCCUGCCCACACCUUGAUCUUGGACUUCCAGCCUCCAAGACCGUACCAAGGCAGAAGCAUGCUGCGUGGCCAAAUGGCAGAACCAAUCCAAACCAGAAAAAUAGAAGAUGGCGAUGGGGUGCCAUUGCAGGAGGUGCCUCGCGCUAGGAGGGAAGAUCUGCGCAUGCCCCCAAGCCCCCACCCCGAGCAAUGAUGCAGAGAAGCCUCCACCUCCACAUCCUACAAGACGCCUGCUCGCCUUCCCUUGGGGAGAAGGUGUUGAGAACGUGAGCUCUGCCUCCUCCGUUCGUUGAUCAGUGAAUAGCGUUUCUGCUCUGCUGUUCCGAUCCUGCUCUGGUUCUACUGGCGCGGGCAGCUCCCGGCAAAAGGACCCACUUGCGGGUCACCAGUCCCUUAGGGCUCGGUAACAGGAGUGUGGGAGACUAGCCGGGGGAGGCAGGCAGUGCCAGGUCAUGUCUUGGAGAAGGGCUUCGAGGUAAGAAAGAGGUGCCUCGUCUCUAAUCCAGAGGUGAUAAAUGGUGGGCAGUCGAGGUGUUUUAAGCAGGAGGGUGCUGCAGUCGAAUUCGCGUUUUUACAAGACCCUCUAUAUGGAUGAACCCCAUGUAUGGGGGCAGGGGGACCACUUCCGGGACUAUUAUGAGGCUAGGGCAAUGGAGGCUGAGCCCGGGAGCAGCAGUGGAGAUGCGAGAGGAAAGCGAUAUCGAGUGAUAUUGAAGAGGCAGAAGUGACAGGACUUGGUGAUGGGCUGGGUCUGGCGGGACAAAGGAGAGGGAGAAGUCAAGGAAGCCCCUGCACAGAAGUUUCUGGCUCAGAUGGCGGGCUUUUAGCAAGAAUUUGAGCCCGGGUCUCUCUGCUUCCAUAGCCCUUCAGACUGGCGCUAAGAGAGGAAGAGCCAACAAAUCAGACCUGUGGUCGAGAACUGUCAUCAUGCACAUAGAUCCUAGGAAGGAUCUGAAGCCAGGCAGAGCCCAGGUGAGAGUGGGCCACCCUUCGUGGAAGUGUUGCUUACAGCUGGUUGCUGGGAAUGAACGAGCAGGGUCAUCAGUGUGAGAUUAACGGGUUGAUGAGAUUUGUCAGCCAAGCCAAAGGUCGGAUUUCUAUGAAGAAUGCAGUUGCAGAAUCGAGUUGCUUUUUUUUUUUUCUUUUGAGGAAGAUUAGCCCUGAGCUAACAUCUGCCACCAAUCGUCCUCUUUUUGCUGAGGAAGACUGGCCCUGAGCUAACAUCCAUGUCCAUCUGCCUCCAGUUUAUAUGUGGGACGCCUACCACAGCAUGGCUUGCCAAGCGGUGCCAUGUCCGCACCCGGGAUCUGAACCAGCAAACCCUGGGCUACCAAAGCGGAACGUGCACGCUUAACCGCUGCACCACCAGGCCAGCCCCAAGUUGCUUUGUUUUUAAACUACAAAAUCCACAUAAUGUCACAUCACUGCAAAGGCAGGCGUGUUCCCUCUGGGUUCUGGUCGUGGGGCAAUACUAUAUUUUCCAGAUAGCUCCUGAUUGCAAUGAGCCAAAUUGGGGACCAAAUACUGAAUAUAUGACCUUGAAAGCAAGAACAGUAACCAAAGUGACUCUGCCUUCGUGCGCCUGCAGUCCCAGCGUUCCUCCGAGCUCGGCAACGUUUGACGUAAAGCAUCAGCCGCAGUGGGAAAACAAAAAUGCAACCUAAUCGGGUUGCUGAAGGGCUAGAAGGGAAACGGGUGGGGGAGUUUAUGUGGUUUUUAAAAUAGGAAGUUCUACCCCAAAGUGUGUCAUUUCUGAAGUGAGGGAAGUUCCCACAGGCUGCUCAAAGAGCCUGCACAAUAGCAGUUUGAUGUUUUCAACACAUUUAUGGUUCAUGAUAGUAAACACACGGCUUUUCUCCAGAUCAUACGGUGUUCUUGGGAUACGAAGUGACUAAAAUAUACCCCAAGCUUGGCUGCUCUGGGAUCUUAUGAAGCCAAAGAGAAACUCCUGCUUAGUCUUGUGAAAGAUUAGUUGCUUAUCAAGAAAAUGCAGUUUUUCGAACGUUUAAAGAGACUCAUUUGUGAGGAGAAUGGCGGUAAAGAAGGGGUGGUCGUCACCAUUACAGGAAAGGAAGCCUGGCUGAGUGAUGCUGAGGGCAGCUUGUGAAGAAGAGGAACUCUCACACAAGCCAGCGAGGUCCUCCAUAACUUAGGGCAUCUGACUCAGGUCAUAACUGAAAGAGACCCAAAUUAGACUCCAGUCAGGAAGCCCAGCUGCCAUGGGAGAGACGCCCUGUGCAGAUUUCUGAGGCGGGCGGGCUAGCCAGCGGCCCCUCUCACUGUGAAUGGCCCCAGUGUGCUCUGGCUCUGGUGUUCCAGCCACCCCCAGGGGGAGGGGAAGGCCUGAAUGACCCAGUGUCCCUGUGCAGGGGUCCUGACCUCAGAGGCUUUUCUGAAGCCUCCCAGAGCUCAGGAACUCCUCCAGACUGUGACAAAGCAAUUCUUCAGGGAGAUAGAGGAAGGAAAAAAAAAAAGAAAGACUCGAGAAUCAAGAUUGCCUCAUCUUAACCAAAUGCUUAAGAAGAGAUUGGCUCAUACCUUGUGUUUGCAUUCAAAGCUAGUGUUUUCAUUACUAAAGUUGAAGUUUGGCAAUUGCAAAUCAUCUGAUAAUGUAUCAGUGGUGUCAAAAGGGGAGGCUGAAAAAAAUGGAGGAAUGUGUUAGCAUGUGUGGUAAUACAGACCAGGGACUCUGGGGUCAAAUCCUGAGACCGCUACUUGCGGGCUGUGUGACUUGGGUGAGUCAUUUACCCUCCGUAUGUCUUGGUUUCCUCUGAAGAAUGGAGGAAAGUAAUGGGUAGGAUCCUUGUAAGGCCUAGGUGAUUUAGUACUUGGAAAGGCUGUGUAACGGUCACUUGGAGAGACUGAACGUCCAGUGCAACACACAUGUAUGUGUCAGGCACUGGCUGUCUGGGAGUCCAGCCUGGGAGCCGAGCACGUCCAUCCACCCCUCCACAUACUCUUCUAUCUUCGGCUCCUGUGACCCGGUUUUCUUUCUCCACCCCUCUGAUUCCUUUCCAAGCUCACCCCCGUCUGCUCAGCUCUUCCCUGUGAAGCUCCUCCAGGGUUGCUGCAAGGCCCUCUCCUGUUUCCCUCUUCUCUUCUCACUAGGCUAUCUCAUCCACACCCACCGUGUCCACUGCCAGCGACACACAAACGGCGCACAAAAUCACAUCUCCAGCUCAGACCUCUGGGCUGAGCUCCAGACCCAGGCAUCAACUGCACUCUUGACAGGUCCUCCUGGAUGGCUCAGAGGCACCGCAGACUCAGCAAGCGAAAAGCCCAACUCAUGCCUAUACACCCACAGCUGACCCCCUUCCGGGGCAACCUGGUUCAGCGACUGGCACGAUGCUCCAUGCAGACCUAGGAGGUGUCUUCACAUUCCUCUUUCCCAUCCAUUUUACCCACAAGCCCUGUCAGCUUUGCCUCCUAGGCACCUUUCAAACGCGUUUGCUCGUGUCUCUCCAUCUCCGCCAGGAUGACCCCAGGCUGAUUCUCCUGCUUGGCCGUUGUCUUCUAACUUCUAACACAAAGUGCGAUGGGGGAAAUGGUUAACAAACACACUGACAAACCAAUUAGGUAGUUUCUCAUAAUGUUAACUGCUGUGAAGAAAAAAUACCAGGGAAGUAGCCUAGAGAGUGACCCGGGGUGGUUGGGAGCGGCUUCUGAGGAGGCGAUGUUCGAGGAUCUUGAGGAAGAGGACUCCAGGCCUGCUUCAGAUUCACAGGUCCUGAGAUGAGAGUAAGCUUGAAGGGUUUAAGGGUUGGAGGCGAUCACAGGCUGGAGGUAAGAGAAAGAAUGGGGAGAUGAGGUGGGCAGGUCCACACAGGUCAGCUCUUGUGUGGUUUUAGAGACCUCGGGAAGGAGUUUGAAUUUUAUUCUAAAUGCAACAGGAGGCCAUGGAUGGCUUUUAAGCAGAUCCAUCAGCUCCCAGGGGAAUUGAUUACUCAUACCAAUUCCUCCAGCCCCACGUGAUUCUGCAACCAACAGUGUGCUUGUCACAUAGAGGCACUCGAUUAACACAUGUUGCUGCAGUAAAUGAGUGACAAUUCUUGAAAUCCAGUUUGUUAUUCUCUCUAAUCAAGGGUGACCACCAGGGUCGCUGGCCCAGUGAGUGUGUCUCCAUCCGUGCAGAUCCACAGACCGGAUAUCUAGGGGUAUCGUGACUUUCCUCUUCCUCAGCAGUUUGUCACCAAAUCCUGUCCGCUCCACCACCUAAACAUCUCUCCAGUCUGUUCCCUCGCAUUCUUACAUAGGAAGUAGCAAGCUAAACCUCUCCACACUGGCAUCAGAGUCACUACUGUCUGUGACUCCUGAAUCCAGGGUCUGGUCAUUCAGAACGUGAAAGGGGUUCAUUUCUGCCUGUGUCAGAGGCUCACAUUCAUCCUUCUGGAGGGGGUGGUCUGGGAGCAUGCCUAGGAAAACUGGACCCAUGGCCUAUGGCUCUUCAUACACUGGCCGAUCGUUUACUAUCUCUGGGUUUGUUUGAGCUGAUUUGUAAAACAAGUGUAGUGAUAUUUGCCUUAUCUCUUUCAUGUUGGGAUAAAAUAAGUAGCUUUGAGGACCAGAGAGCAUCGCAUCCAUGAGUAAGUGUGAAGUAUUGUCAGGCCAGGGGCUGGUAUUCCAACAGGCAAAGGGAGCCUCUGGCUCAUGUUAAGGUGGGGAAGCCAACAGAGCUGGAGCUGGAGUUGGAGUCAGCCGGCCUGACUCGAGGGCACUCGCUCUUUCUGUUUGCUGCAGCCACUGUUCUGUGGGGAAAGCUUGGUGAGGCAUCUCCAAGCCUGGUGGAAACCUGCGCACAGCCUCAGCCAGGCGCCAGGACCCCAAAGCAUCAUUGUGUUGCCUGCCAUUUAUUUCCAAAGAUAAUAUUGUCUUUUGUCCAAGUUUGGAUUUCACCAAACUUGUCAUUACCACUGGCAGUGGAAAUGAAGGGCUGUCUUGGAGCCACCAACUUGAGGCCCACACAGAGAAGGUCUGGGAAGCGGCCGCCUGGAGCUGCCCUGAAUCCUGAGACUUCAGGCCCCACUUUGCUAACCUGGCCAAAUGGUUGAGUGCGGAAGAAGAUGGAUUUGUCUGGACAGGAGAGAAUAUUCCAAGAUUCAAAUAACUCUAGAGGCCUUUCUUUUGGUAACCAGUCUGAUACACAUAGAGUCAAGCCAAGCAGAAUAAAAAGGCGGACAGCCUGGUCACACCCUCUCCCCUUGACCCUGCCUCUCGGCCACCACUCGCUCUCCUCAGAGAGCCCUGGUCUCCUCCUCACUCUCCUGCUCUGGCCUGGCACCGCCAUGGUCUUCUCGCUGAUUUUCUUUCACAUUUUCAAAAGGAGCAAACUGUCGAUCUUUUGAUUUUCCUCCAACUGACCACAUUCUAGCCCAUUUAAGCGUGCGAGCUCUUGGUUGUGCCCCAUAAGUCUUGUCUAAACCAUAGCACUUGGGGGCCAAGAGGGAACAGGGCAUUUGAUCAGCACUUCUUGGACGUUCCCAGGACUUUCACCUGAUGUCUCGUGGCCCCAGAGCCCCGUGAGGGUGCUGCCUUGACCCCUGUUUACAGAUGGAGGAGGAACUCUACAGAGAGCUUGGGCAGCGUCCCCUGGGUGGCCCAGGGCCAAGAUGCAAGCCCUGCUUUCUCAGGGAAGAGCUAAGCUAGCGAUUUUGUUUAUG